UACGUAGGGGGCAAGCGUUUGUCCGGAUUUAUUGGGCGUAAAGAGCGUGUAGGCGGCCCGGUAAGUCCGCUGUGAAAGUCCAGGGCUCAACCCUGGGAUGCCGGUGGAUACUGUCGGGCUCGAGUCCGGAAGAGGAGUGUGGAAUUCCUGGUGUAGCGGUGAAAUGCGUAGAUAUCUGGAGGAACACCGGUGGCGAAGGCGGCAUCCUGGACCAAUAUUGACGCUGAGGAGCGAAAGCCAGGGGAGCAAACGGG
This 254-nucleotide ribosomal RNA is filed under the name uncultured bacterium. RNAcentral describes it as "partial 16S ribosomal RNA". It matches the Rfam family "Bacterial small subunit ribosomal RNA", at positions 524 to 776 of the family's 1533-position model. The record is from RNAcentral.